UACGGAGGGUGCAAGCGUUAAUCGGAAUUACUGGGCGUAAAGCGCACGCAGGUGGCUGAGUCAGUCGAUUGUGAAAGCCCUGGGCUUAACCUGGGAAUUGCAGUCGAUACUACUCAGCUAGAGUCCGGAAGAGGAGAAUGGAAUUCCUGGUGUAGCGGUGAAAUGCGCAGAUAUCAGGAAGAACACCAAUGGCGAAGGCAGCUCUCUGGGACGGUACUGACGCUGAGACGCGAAAGCGUGGGGAGCGAACAGG
RNAcentral lists this ribosomal RNA (253 nucleotides) under uncultured bacterium. RNAcentral describes it as "partial 16S ribosomal RNA". It matches the Rfam family "Bacterial small subunit ribosomal RNA", at positions 524 to 776 of the family's 1533-position model. The record is from RNAcentral.